GACGAACGCUGGCGGCGUGCUUAACACAUGCAAGUCGAACGGAAAGGCCCUGCUUUUGUGGGGUGCUCGAGUGGCGAACGGGUGAGUAACACGUGAGUAACCUGCCCUUGACUUUGGGAUAACUUCAGGAAACUGGGGCUAAUACCGGAUAGGAGCUCCUGCUGCAUGGUGGGGGUUGGAAAGUUUCGGCGGUUGGGGAUGGACUCGCGGCUUAUCAGCUUGUUGGUGGGGUAGUGGCUUACCAAGGCUUUGACGGGUAGCCGGCCUGAGAGGGUGACCGGCCACAUUGGGACUGAGAUACGGCCCAGAAUCCUACGGGAGGCAGCAGUGGGGAAUAUUGCACAGUGGGCGGAAGCGUGAUGCAGCAACGCCGCGUGCGGGAUGACGGCCUUCGGGUUGUAAACCGCUUUCGCCUGUGACGAAGCGUGAGUGACGGUAAUGGGUAAAGAAGCACCGGCUAACUACGUG
Molecule: ribosomal RNA, 468 nt
Filed under: uncultured bacterium
Lineage: Bacteria
Description: partial 16S ribosomal RNA
Rfam family: Bacterial small subunit ribosomal RNA
Source: RNAcentral